AUUGAACGCUGGCGGCAGGCCUAACACAUGCAAGUCGAGCGAGCGGCGGACGGGUGAGUAAUGUAUGGGGACUGCCCGAUAGAGGGGGAUAACUACUGGAAACGGUGGCUAAUACCGCAUACUAUCGGAUAACCCAUAUGGGAUUCGCUAGUAGGUGGGGUAAAGGCUCACCUAGGCGACGAUCUCUAGCUGGUAUGAGAGGAUGAUGAGCCACACUGGGAGUAAGAAACGGCCCAGACUCCUACGGAGGGAGCAGUGGGGAAGAUUGCACAAUGGGCGAAAGCCUGAUGCAGAAAUGCAGCGUGUAUGAAGAAGGCCUUAGGGUUGUAAAGUACUUUCAGCGGGGAGGCGUUACCCGCAGAAGAAGCACCGGCUAACUCCGUGCCAGCAGCCGCGGUAAUAA
Molecule: ribosomal RNA, 403 nt
Filed under: uncultured bacterium
Lineage: Bacteria
Description: partial 16S ribosomal RNA
Rfam family: Bacterial small subunit ribosomal RNA
Source: RNAcentral